UAUUAUUGUAAAUAAGUAGGAAUAACCACAUCCAUCGGAGAGUGAAUGUAGCGCACAUUGGGGAUAAAAUGUGAGUGUCCAUUAAGAUGGUCUAGUCAGAUCAAACAUAGAUAAUCAAAUGCUCCAGUAAGAAAAUGUAAUAAAUUAGUGGUGAAAUGAGUAAAGAAGAAAAUAGAGAGAUCUAAAAUGACGUAGAGAGAAGUAACAUAAAAAAUUAACAAUUCUUGAAUAUUGAUGCAAAAUGGGUCUUAAACAGAGCUAAAUGGUGAAAAAUAAUCCAUGUAGUCAACCCCCAACUAGUUUAAGGCUUAGCUAUUCUUAUUGUUGUUGCUUGUCUCGAGUGUGCAUCACAUGCAAGACAAGAAGGAUUUGUCCUGUCUUCUCCCAUCUUGCAUACCAAAUGCAGCCAAUGGGACUAAUAUGCAAAGGCCAGUCGGCCCUAGUUUUAGGCCCAAGCAAAGGCUAACAUACAACAGAGAAGGGACAUUCAUCCUCAAGUGAAUUUUGCAAGCACUGCGAAGGACUUUUACAUCCCUUUGAAUGUCUUCAUACAACAUCUAAGGUUCCACAACAAAAUAUAGCCCCCACUUUAAACAAAAAAUCUUAAACAAAAAUAAUUUUUUUUUUCUAAAAAAAAAGUGAGAGAUAGGGUGAAUGUGCAAUCCAUAUCCAUGAGAUAAAUCGUAAUGGAAUCACAUCUUGAUAAGAAAGGCACCAGGGUGCUAUAGGAAUCUUUAGAAAAUGUAUUAUAUUGUCAAUGUGUUGUUGGCCACAAUUUUCCUGUUAAGAUUUUCACUAGUAUCCCUUUUGAAUUAUAAAUUGAUGCCAAACUUGAAGUUUUUACAUAAAACUUCUGGAAAUUCCCAAUAUCAGUUUGACUUCAGGUAAAAACAGAUUUUACCUUUUUUUCAAGUAUCCGUACUUG
This 925-nucleotide unclassified non-coding RNA is filed under the name Hevea brasiliensis (rubber tree). Lineage: Eukaryota; Viridiplantae; Streptophyta; Magnoliopsida; Malpighiales; Euphorbiaceae. The record is from RNAcentral.